AACCGAAUAUUCGGGAUAGGUGUCCGCAAGGACUUAAUAGGGAAGUUUGGUGCAAAGCCAGCACGGUCCCGCCACUGUAACGGGGAGCGAUCCUGCGAAAACGCCACUGGAGCGUGGGCUCUGGGAAGGUGCAGGGGUGCUAUGAACCGGAGUCAGGAGAACUGCCUGUCUGACAAUCACCGC
RNAcentral lists this non-coding RNA (183 nucleotides) under Acetonema longum. RNAcentral also lists the same sequence under 1 other name. The record is from RNAcentral. Lineage: Bacteria; Bacillati; Bacillota; Negativicutes; Acetonemataceae.